RNAcentral lists this long non-coding RNA (3676 nucleotides) under Olea europaea subsp. europaea. Lineage: Eukaryota; Viridiplantae; Streptophyta; Magnoliopsida; Lamiales; Oleaceae. The record is from RNAcentral.
UCCACGUAUUCCUCCCUGUGCAUAGUCAACACACGGUCAGAUGCACACGGCCAGAACCAACGAGAGUAGUGGCGGCCGUAUACACUCCGACGGUCAAAUUAGUCUCAGGUGGUCGGAAUAAUACCAAGGUUAUGCUAAAUAAGGGGGAGGAGAAUAUAUAUUUGCUUGCUAUAGAAAGUUAUGUUGUAAGAGUUUCAUUACCCUUGCCUCUUGUCAAAAUUUGGGUAUUUAUAGGUGAGGAGAACCGUUGGAUGUGAGACACGUGUAUGCAUCUGACUGUGUGAAGCGUCUGCUCAUAGGCGUCAAUCAGUCGCAUCCAUAGAGUGGGCAGGCAAUUACUUCUUUCGAGUUGAGUUGACAUAAAGAUGAUACGUCAAAUCAAUUGAACCUUAGAGGCAGAAAGGAUCUUGACAUAGAUCUCUUUCUGAAAUUAGCGACGGGUCUUCUGAUAGAGAAUCUUGGAAUGAAUUGAGCCUCGGCUUCAGGUGCGAGGACGCUUCGAUUGGUUCAAUAGAUAACGCACUUCGACAGUAUUGGUGGUGGCAUCACUUUGGAACCACUUCGGUUGGGUGUUGGACGCCUCGUAUAACGCGGUGGUAGACUUUUCGAAGUGGUUUAGAUUGGGGCGUAACAGUAGUCUCCCCAAGUUCAGGUAUGAAUAUUUAUAUUAUGGGUGGACUUGUUUUUCUGAUCGGGUAUGUCCGCCUUGGGAUGGGGACCACGAUCUGUGAGGGCUUAUGGGUCAAAUUCCUAUGUUCACCAAAGCGUUGACCACAGGCAGACGCGCUAAAGAUUUAUUACUGCGUAAGGGAAAAACUUAUCCGAGGCCGAUAUGCUACCAAUUGGACGAUGUGUUAGGAGAUCGAUAGAGCUUUAUAAAGCAGCUUUCCAGGCGAUGACCCACAGGGGGUUCGGCAUCAGAUGCGUCUAAGCUUUGUAAAGCUGUGUGAAGAGCUCAUCCGCCACCGGUACGUUGACCCACAGGGGACGACGCGUUGGGAGAUGACUAAAGCUUUGUAAAGCUUAGGAGGGGACGUAGCUUUCGAGGCGAUGACCCACAAGGGAGCUCCGUGUCAGAUACGUCUAAGCUUUGUAAAGCUAUAUGAAGAGCUCAUCUGCCACCGGUGCAUUGAACCAUUGGGAACAACGCGUUGGGAGAUGGUUAAAACUUUGUAAAACUUAGGAGGGAACACAGCUUCCGAGGUGAUGACCCACAGGGGGGCUCCGCAUCAGAUGCGUCUAAGUUUUGUAAAGCUGUGUGAAGAAUUCAAUCUACCACCGGUGCGUUGACCCACAGGGGACGACGCGUUGGGAGAUGGCUAAAGUUUUGUAAAGCUUAGGAGGGAACACAACAUCUACGGCGAUGAUCCACAGGGGGGCUCCGCAUCAGAUGCGUCUAAACUUUGUAAAGCUGUGUGAAGAGCUCAAUCUGAGGCGGGCAUGUCUGAUUUUAAAUGAUUAGACAGCUGUCACGUAUUUUCAAGGUGACAGUUGAGCACGAUGCCCAUUCCCAGAAAAGGCUACUGCGGCUACUUAGUGAUCAAGGCAAUGCGUUUCGCAAGAGCAUGAAGGUCACAACUAGAUCUUAAGCAUAUAUCAAAUAUGGCAUUUCGUUUCAAUGGCCAAGAUUGAUGAUGCGACGAAUAGCCUAGAUUGAUUGCAUUUGAAUUCAACGGUGUAGAUGAGCUGGGACGCUCUAUAAAAGGCAGACUUGAGGGAUUUUGGAGCUUUUCACUUUUGCGAAAUUGAAAUCCCUAUACACUCUCAAAACCUUUGUGUUUUUCGACAAUCUUCAAGUAAUUUUAGACGAAAAUUCCCAGUUUUCGGUGACUCACAUUGUUUCUCGAUCGUUUUCGACUGUUGGACAUUUCGUUUUUCAAAAGUUUCAGUAAGUAUUUGAAAAUUUUCAUUUCUAAAAAAUGGCUUCUUAGGGUAGUGGUAGUUCGGGUAGGGGGUUGGAACUAGUGAGGGUGAAUGAGCCCAUUUUGGAGACCUCCUCUGAGAUAGCCGAGGUGAUUAUUGGGGGGAGAACAUAUGGAAGAGGCCAGAUAGCCCGACUAACACAUCUGUACAUUGGGGGCGUCGGAUUACCCCUCUAAGCUAAAGGUUGCCAACCUCGAAAGACUUAGGGUUGAGUAUAGGAUCCCAGAUAUUGUAGAUCUGAUCCUACCAGAACCUGAUGAGCGGGUCUGUUACCUUAGGCCGGGGUGCAUGGCAAUAAGCAAGGUGAUCCUUAGGGCAGGCCUUAGGCUUCCAAUCCACCCUUUCUUCCAUAUGGUACUUAGGUCAUACGGCUUAACUCCUACCCAACUGAACCUGAACUCCUGGAGCCAAAUGGUGGGCUCCUGGAUGUUGUUGUAGAAGGCGUCGCUUGGUGUGGAGAUGCCUUUCUCCGUAUUUCAGACCCUCUACAUCCCUAAGGUAGCGGCUGUGGGGAUAAGACUAGGGGAUAGUACUACUUGACCUCAUGGGGUUCCCACACUCCAUUCGUGCUCGAUCUACCAAGCUCCAUCAAGGAGUGUAAGAGCUCGUGGUGCUGGGCUGUUGGGAGAUGGGACACGAUGGAAGGGGACCCCUUGGCGUCUCUUACGGUCCCCACAAAGUAUUCGACGCUUAGUGAGUAUUGUGAUUUUACGUUUCUUGUUUACUUUUCCUCAGUUCGGUACUUAACUGUUCUGUUUGCUUUUGAAGGUUCUCUUUCUCGGUACGAGCUUUCGACCGACGACUUCGACAUCAUCUGCAUUAUUUAUCAGCUGCCUUCGAAGAAGAGGUCGUUCCACCAGUUGAUAAGGAAAAAUGUUCACUUCGUGACACACGAUUUGAUGGCUUCUCAAGGUAAAUGUCCCAAAAUGAAUUCCUUCAGUACUUUCUGAACUCUUUAUACUUGUACUAAUUUGCCUGUUCCUUUGUAGAUAACUUUUAAGAAGCUAUCUCUGCGGCAAGAUUUCAAGACCAUCCAAAGGUUGAUGGCCGAGGCGAGAGCCUUGAAGACCUCCUCAUCUGCAUAAAAAAAGCAGAUGGAGGAUCUGGUGGAGGCCAGUAAGAGGCUCCAGCCUCCCAUCGAAGAGGAGGUGGUGGAGGACCGAGACGCCAAUCUGCUGCGGAAAGGGAAGAAGUCCGUCGCCUUCUCAAAGUGCCCAACUGUGGCGAGGCCACCUCCGGCUAUGAGGCAGAUGACCAUUCCAACCGGGGUGGUUAUCCCGUAGAAGAGGCUUGCGUCUUCCGAGGCUUCUCCAGCCCCGGCCACAUCGCCAGUCGUCACUCUGCCCAUUGCUCAAGUGCCGGGGCAGCAAAAGAAGAAAAUGGUUCGUCCCUCGAAAGAGGUGGACUUCUUGGGCAUCAAUUCCAAGGAACCAGUGAAGGAAGUUUUGGAGGCUCUUCCUCCAGAGACGGCUACAGUGGUGGUGGUCCACAAUAAAUAUUGGACUGAUGAAUGGAGAGAUCACACCGCCUCCUGCAUUGUCGAGGACCUGGUUACAGCCAACAGUGCUUGUGUGGCUUGGGCCUUAAGCACCAGCAUCCAACUUGAGUGCUUGGUAAAAGAACUCAAUGCAAAGAGGGAGGACCUCGCUAAGUGCCUUGAGGAGGCGAUGCAUUAUGGUGACGAGGUGAGAGAGGCCCGGGCCAAGGCCAAGGAGGAAGGAACGAGGCUGAGGCCCAGCUAGGGGUUGCGAAU